UGUUCUUGUGUCAACAAGUUAUCAGCACUGGCAUGUGCUGCCACCUAUGGAGGUUGAGGAAAACUAAAUAAACAUGGCUGGUUUCUGUUAACGCAAGGCUUUUGUCCUACUCAUUAUUUGUGUCUAAUUAACGCCCACAAGAUAAACCUCCUGACUCAACAACACACAAGUGCAAACA
Long non-coding RNA from Priapulus caudatus, 178 nucleotides. RefSeq lists it as uncharacterized. The record is from RefSeq and is a predicted model, not a curated record. The transcript has 3 exons. Lineage: Eukaryota; Metazoa; Priapulida; Priapulimorpha; Priapulimorphida; Priapulidae.